This 116-nucleotide transfer RNA is filed under the name Sporisorium reilianum f. sp. reilianum. RNAcentral's name for it is "transfer RNA-Ser(GCT)". It matches the Rfam family "tRNA". Rfam says of the family: Transfer RNA (tRNA) molecules are approximately 80 nucleotides in length. Their secondary structure includes four short double-helical elements and three loops (D, anti-codon, and T loops). Further hydrogen bonds mediate the characteristic L-shaped molecular structure. tRNAs have two regions of fundamental functional importance: the anti-codon, which is responsible for specific mRNA codon recognition, and the 3' end, to which the tRNAs corresponding amino acid is attached (by aminoacyl-tRNA synthetases). tRNAs cope with the degeneracy of the genetic code in two manners: having more than one tRNA (with a specific anti-codon) for a particular amino acid; and 'wobble' base-pairing, i.e. permitting non-standard base-pairing at the 3rd anti-codon position. The record is from RNAcentral. Lineage: Eukaryota; Fungi; Basidiomycota; Ustilaginomycetes; Ustilaginales; Ustilaginaceae.
GACGCUUUGGUGGAGUGGUUAACACGUAUCCCUGCUAUCUCCUCGAUAAGCACUUCGCGUUGACGAAUGUCAGGAUAUCCUCUCUGAGGGCGUGAGUUCGAAUCUCACAGGCGUCG